RNAcentral lists this ribosomal RNA (408 nucleotides) under uncultured bacterium. RNAcentral's name for it is "partial 16S ribosomal RNA". It matches the Rfam family "Bacterial small subunit ribosomal RNA", at positions 28 to 526 of the family's 1533-position model. The record is from RNAcentral.
GACGAACGCUGGCGGCGUGCUUAACACAUGCAAGUCGAACGAAGUGGCGAACGGGUGAGUAACGCGUAAUCAACCUGCCCUUCAGAGGGGCACAACAGUUGGAAACGACUGCUAAUACCGCAUAUGGACGGAGGGGAUUGCGUCGGAUUAGUUAGUUGGGGGGGUAACGGCCAACCAAGGCGAUGAUCAGUAGGCGGACCGGGGAGAUGAACGGCCACAUUGGGGCUGGGACACGGCCCAGACUCCUACGGGAGGCAGCAGUGGGGAAUCUUCCGGAAUGGACGGAAGUCUGACGGAGCAACGCCGGGUGAGUGAUGACGGCCUUCGGGUUGUAAAGCUCUGUUAGUCGGGACGCGGUACCGGAAUAGAAAGCCACGGCUAACUACGUGCCAGCAGCCGCGGUAAUAC